AUCCAGCUGACGAGCCCCAAAUAGGACGAGAGGUGCGUUCUAGAU
Schistosoma curassoni is the source of this 45-nucleotide non-coding RNA. Lineage: Eukaryota; Metazoa; Platyhelminthes; Trematoda; Strigeidida; Schistosomatidae. The record is from Rfam.